GAUGAACGCUGACAGAAUGCUUAACACAUGCAAGUCAACUUGAAUUUGGGUUUUUAACUUAAGUUUGGGUGGCGGACGGGUGAGUAACGCGUAAAGAACUUGCCUCACAGCUAGGGACAACAUUUGGAAACGAAUGCUAAUACCUAAUAUUAUGAUAAUAGGGCAUCCUAUAAUUAUGAAAGCUAUAAGCGCUGUGAGAGAGCUUUGCGUCCCAUUAGCUAGUUGGAGAGGUAACUGCUCACCAAGGCGAUGAUGGGUAGCCGGCCUGAGAGGGUGAUCGGCCACAAGGGGACUGAGACACGGCCCUUACUCCUACGGGAGGCAGCAGUGGGGAAUAUUGGACAAUGGACCAAGAGUCUGAUCCAGCAAUUCUGUGUGCACGAUGAAGUUUUUCGGAAUGUAAAGUGCUUUCAGUUGGGAAGAAAGAAAUGACGGUACCAACAGAAGAAGUGACGGCUAAAUACGUGCCAGCAGCCGCGGUAAUACGUAUGUCACGAGCGUUAUCCGGAUUUAUUGGGCGUAAAGCGCGUCUAGGUGGUUAUGUAAGUCUGAUGUGAAAAUGCAGGGCUCAACUCUGUAUUGCGUUGGAAACUGUAUAACUAGAGUACUGGAGAGGUAAGCGGAACUACAAGUGUAGAGGUGAAAUUCGUAGAUAUUUGUAGGAAUGCCGAUGGGGAAGCCAGCUUACUGGACAGAUACUGACGCUGAAGCGCGGAAAGCGUGGGGUAGCCAACAGG
Molecule: ribosomal RNA, 737 nt
Filed under: uncultured Fusobacterium sp.
Lineage: Bacteria; Fusobacteriati; Fusobacteriota; Fusobacteriia; Fusobacteriales; Fusobacteriaceae
Description: bacterial SSU rRNA
Rfam family: Bacterial small subunit ribosomal RNA
Source: RNAcentral